AAGAGACAUAAAUAAACGGGACUACAAAGAGCUGUGACACUGUUUACACAAAAGGUUUGUAAACUUUUCAAGUAAAGGCAUGGACUGUCCAUCCACU
Molecule: long non-coding RNA, 97 nt
Organism: Melanotaenia boesemani (Boeseman's rainbowfish)
Lineage: Eukaryota; Metazoa; Chordata; Actinopteri; Atheriniformes; Melanotaeniidae
Exons: 4
Source: RefSeq, a predicted model, not a curated record